Molecule: long non-coding RNA, 1035 nt
Organism: Mugil cephalus (flathead mullet)
Lineage: Eukaryota; Metazoa; Chordata; Actinopteri; Mugiliformes; Mugilidae
Exons: 3
Source: RefSeq, a predicted model, not a curated record
CAAAAACAAAAAAACAACCUGAAUCAAGGGCACUGGACUUGUAGGUUCCUAAAUGUUGGUGAAACAUCUUCAAAGAAAUCUUUUUGUGGGGGUUACUGCACAAGCCCUUAACCUUAUUAUGUACUUUUUAAGAUUUAAAUUCUAAAACUGACAAUCGAUCCAAUAGCACCAGUUCACGAAGCAGCUGACCGGGUGUGCAGAGUGAAGUAAAACACUCGGCUUGUGCAACAAAACUGGAGCCCAUGAAAAAUUUAAGAGAAGAAGCUUUCCUGCAGCACUUCCAGCCUGUUUCUUUGCAUCAGCAACCACUGAGGGGCCACUUCCAUCAGAUCAGAGGUGGGAUGUGUCUCGGGCUGAUGAUAAGAGCCACGGCUCUACCUGUGGCCUCCCGUCGCUGCGCGCCGGCGCUGGUAUCUGCGUGGAUGAAGGUGACUGAGGAUGACAGGCAGCCAAAUGCCUUUUCACCUGCAGCUGAUUUCUGAACGCAAACGCCCCGGUUUAGACAAAUGGGAACAAGGCGCGGCAAUUAUGGCGCGACUGACCUUCAGCUCGUGCUCCGUGAUGGAGCUGUCACACACUUCAUGCUUGGCCCCCUUUUCCUUAUCACAGCCGCACCGCUCCCACCUUUAUAAACAAACAGUCCAGUGGCAGUAGGCAGUAGGUAUAUUCGGUUUAGCUCCUGAUUUUUUAUUUUUUUUUUUUUAAGUGGCUUCCUCAGUCAGUGUUUUUUUGACACCACGCGACCCUCCGCGUGACCCGAUGCCUUUUCAAUUGUGUUCAUCUAUUAUGGAGCGAUAAGAGAGCACGAGCCUCCGUGUUUCCUGGGAAUAUUACCGGGAAAAUUUCCCAGACAGACAAGGGAGAAUGCCGCUAAUAAAUUCUGCAUGUAAUGAUUAAAUUUGAAUACAGAGGUCAAGAGCCCUCAUUAUUUGCUUUCAAAUAUUAAAAUACUGUUAAUAUUUUAUGUCACCAAAUACGCAGCGCUGAAUUAAUUUCCAAAGAAAAAUGUUUGCACGGAAUAAAGUGCUUUUUGGG